UUUUUUUUUGUUUUUCUGCACGGAAUAUUUUAAAGAAAGAAAAAGAAAAAAAAGUCAACCGACCUACUGGGCCGUGUCCGGCUAGGACUCUUGGCCCGGCCGGCCCUUCUAAGCCAGGAGGCCACCCCGCAGCCCAACCCGAGCCGCCCCGCCGCCCAAACCCUAGCGCCGCCCCGCCGCCGCCGUCCCGCCGCCCGAGGUUGACCGCCGCCGGUUUCCGCGAGAAAACCGCCCGGUUUUUCGUUUGGUUUUUUUACCCUAGAUUUUUUUAUAUAGAUCGGUUUAGUUUUUUUUCGGUUUACUUAUUUUGCGGACGUUCGUCCGUACAUUCGUUUUAAUGAACGGUUUUCGUCGUUUAACCGCAGACAGCGAACGUUCGUUCGUUAGCCUGUUCGUCAGUUUUUCUUUUUCUCGGAUUUUCCGCGAUUAUUUUCGAUCGCGAUUUCCGAUCUGAUUUUCGUUUUAGUAUAACUUUUCGCUCGUUUAUCGGAAUCAGGCGAUUCAAGCGCCUAGAGUUUCGUCUCGAAACCCUCUUUCUGUUUAACCAACUUAAAGAAGUUUUUGCUACUGUAAAAAUUUGACUUAGGUCCAGAUUAGUAAACGAAGCUUGUUUCUUUCGCCGUUUGAGUUUCGUUGCUUCGUUCGAUUUGAUUCUUUUUGCAAACCGGAGUUCUUAAGUUGAACUUUCUGGUUAGAUCUCUUAUUUUGAGUUUUACCCGUGCACCCUUGCUUGAUUGCUUAUGUAUGUAUUGUUUGUUUGCGAUAGAGUACCCGGAGUGCGAAGCGUGCUACUAUGAGUCUCUAGGUUUCACGGAUCAUCAGCAAGGCAAGUAACACUUUGAUCAUAUCUCUUUCAUACCCAGUUUUUAUGCAUUAGAUUCAACCCUCAAACAUUGCAUGAGUAGGAUUGAUAACAUGUGGGUAUUGGGAAGUAGUUGAUGAUGUAGGAACCUAUUGCCCUGCAUUCAAACCCUUGGGAGUUACUUCUACGUUUGCUUAUAUUGCUAUGCUAUGCUCGUAGACGUGGAUUGGGUUUGAGUGAUUACAUGACAGAUGUGAGAUUGUUAAUUAAUGGUUAAAUUAAGGUGGCUACUUUAAUUUACAUCUGGGUGGAUUGAGGCACCUGGGGAACCCAGCGAUUGCCUGGAUUUUUUUGGAAAUCCCGGGGUACCGUGUGAUUCUCCUAUGGACCGCCACCCAGGCUCAAAGGGAUCAUGAGAUUAUUCAUACUAGAAACUUCCAUGUGCAUCCACAAGCUAUUAUGGGCUCUAGCAUAGUUGAUUAAGUCGUGUGAACUCUUACAGUGGUAGACUAGCAGAUGUAGGGGAAAGUAGGUGUAACUGUCUACCCAUCGUAAGGUGCUAACGCUUCUGAAAGACUGUGUCUCGGUCAUCCGUUUCUCAAACACCAUGUAGUGCGAGAAAUCCAACGGAGGAGAUCGAGUCUUGUGGGGAAAAGUGCACAAACCUCUGCAGAGUGUACAAACUAAUCAUGGUUAGCCGUGUCCCCGAUUAUGGACAUCUUGAGUAUCUAGUUCUUGGAUUAUCAUAUCGAUCUCAUCACGUUACUUAAAUAAUUUGUUGGGUUGUUAAUGAUUACUUUUAAUUGGGAUUGAGAGGGGGUUUACCUUCUCAAUAUUUUUCAACCAACUUUGUAGUUAAAUAAAAUAUAUUCCUUUGUAGUAGGGAAAAAUUGGCUUUAUGCAAAACCGUAACCAUAGAGCUUUCCACCAGCCAAAUAUGCAUGUAGUGAUAGCAUUAUUCUGUUCAUUACUCUAUGUGUUACCUUGCCAGCAUAUUCUUGGUGUUGACCCGUUUUCGGGCUGCAACGUUCAUGUUGCAGACUUUUCAGACGACGAGUAAGGUGCUAUAGGUCGUGGUCUUAUACUCAGUGAUGCCGUUGGAGUUGAUGGACUCACUUUAUCUUCCAAGCCUUCCACUGUUAUCGUAAUUAGAUGGCCUUAAUCCAUAUUUAUUGUAAAAGUUCUCUUUUGAGACAUUCGAUGUAAUAAGUGUGUGAUUGCUACUCUGUUAUAAAUCCUUCAAGUACUGUGCGUGUCAGCAUUACCGAUCCAGGGAUGACACUUAUGCACAGAGACUAGACUGUUUGAGGUCUGGUCGCUACAGCAUGUUGUGAUGUGAUAUGGUCAAGACAUGAUGCUAAAUUUUAUUGUAUGAGAUGAUCAUGUUUUGUAACGGAGUUAUCGGCAACUGGCAGGAGCCAUAUGGUUGUCGGUUUGUUGUAUGAAAUGCAAUCGCCAUGUAAUUGAUUUACUUUAUCACUAAGCGGUAGCGAUAGUCGUAGAAGCAAUAGUUGGCGAGACAACAACGAUGCUACGAUGGAGAUCAAGGUGUCGCGCCGGUGACGAUGGUGAUCAUGACGGUGCUUUGGAGAUGGAGAUCAAAGGCACAAGAUGAUGAUGGCCAUAUCAUAUCACUUAUAUUGAUUGUAUGUGAUGUUUAUCCUUUAUGCAUCUUAUUUUGCUUAGUUCGACGGUAGCAUUAUAAGAUGAUCUCUCACUAAAUUUCAAGGUACAAGUGUUCUCCCUGAGUAUGCACCGUUGUGAAAGUUCGUCGUGCCGAGACACCACGUGAUGAUCGGGUGUGAUAAGAUCUAUGUUCACAUACAACGGGUGCAAGCCAGUUUUGCACACGCAGAAUACUCGGGGUUAAACUUGACGAGCCUAGCAUAUGCAGAUAUGGCCUCGGAACACUGAGACCGAAAGGUCAUAUAGUAGAUAUGAUCAACAUAGUGAUGUUCACCAUUGAAAACUACUCCAUCUCACGUGAUGAUCGGACAUGGUUUAGUUGAUUUGGAUCACGUGAUCACUUAGAUGAUUAGAGGGAUGUCUAUGUAAGUGGGAGUUCUUUAGUAAUAUGAUUAAUUGAACUUUAAUUUAUCAUGAACUUAGUACCUUAUAGUAUUUUGCAUGUCUAUAUUGUUGUAGAUAGAUGGGUCGUGAUGUUGUUCCAUUGAAUUUUAAUGCGUUCCUAGAGAAAGCUAAGUUGAAAUAUGAUGGUAGCAACUACAUGGACUGGGUCCGUAACUUGAGGAUUAUCCUCAUUGCUGCACAGAAGAAUUACGUCCUGGAAGCACCGCUAGGUGCCAAACCCGCUGCAGGAGCAACGCCAGAUGUUAUGAACGUCUGGCAGAGCAAAGCUGAUGACUACUCAAUAGUUCAGUGUGCCAUGCUUUACGACUUAGAACCGGUACUUCAACGACGUUUUGAACGUCAUGGAGCAUAUGAGAUGUUCUAGGAGUUGAAGUUAAUAUUUCAAGCAAAUGCCCGGAUUGAGAGAUAUGAAGUCUCCAAUAAGUUCUACAGCUGCAAAAUGGAGGAGAAUAGUUCUGUCAGUGAGCAUAUACUCAAAAUGUCUGGGUAUAACAAUCACUUGAUUCGACUGGGACUUAAUCUUCCUGAUGAUAGUGUCAUUGACAGAAUUCUUCAAUCACUGCCACCAAGCGACAAGAGCUUCGCGAUGAACUAUAAUAUGCAAGGGAUGGAUAAGACGAUUCCCGAGCUCUUUGCAAUGCUAAAGGCUGCGGAGGUAGAAAUCAAGAAGGAGCAUCAAGUGUUGAUGGUCAACAAGACCACCAGUUUCAAAAAAAGGGUAAAGGGAAGAAGGGGAACUUCAAGAAGAACGGCAAGCAAGUUGCUGCUCAAGUGAAGAAGCCCAAGUCUGGACCAAAGCCUGAGACUGAGUGCUUCUACUGCAAAGGGACUGGUCACUGGAAGCGGAACUGCCCCAAGUAUUUGGUGGAUAAGAAGGAUGGCAAGCUGAACAUAGGUAUAUGUGAUAUACAUGUUAUUGAUGUGUACCUUACUAAUGCUCGCGGUAGCACCUAGGUAUUUUAUACUGGUUUUGUUGCUAAUAUUUACAACUCGAAACAGGGACUACUGAUUAAGCGAAGAUUGGCUAAGGACGAGGUGACGAUGCGCGUGGGAAAUGGUUCCAAAGUCGAUGUGAUCACGGUCGGCAUGCUACCUCUACAUCAACCUUCGGGAUUAGUUUUAGAGCUGAGUAAUUGUUAUUUGGUGCCAGCGUUGAGCAUGAACAUUACAUCUGGAUCUUGUUUGAUGCGAGACGGUUAUUCAUUUAAAUAAGAGAAUAAUGGUUGUUCUAUUUAUAUGAGUAAUAUCUUUUAUGGUCAUGCACCCUUGAAGAAUGGUCUAUUUUUGUUGAAUCUCGAUAGUAGUGAUACACAUAUUCAUAAUAUUGAAGCCAAAAGAUGCAGAGUUUAUAAUGAUAGUGCAACUUAUUUGCGGCACUGCCGUUUGGGUCAUAUUGGUGUAAAGCGCAUGAAGAAACUCCAUCCUGAUGGACUUUUGGAAUCACUUGAUUAUGAAUCACUUGGUACUUGCGAACCAUGCCUCAUGGGCAAGAUGACUAAAACUCCAUUCUCCGGAACAAUGGAGCGAGCAACAGAUUUGUUGGAAAUCAUACAUACUGAUGUAUGUGGUACGAUGAAUGUUGAGGCUCGUGGCAGGUAUCGUUAUUUUCUCACCUUCACAGAUGAUUUGAGAAGAUAUGGGUAUAUCUACUUAAUGAAACAUAAGUCUGAAACAUUUGAAAAGUUCAAAGAAUUUCAGAUUGAAGUGGAAAAUCAUCGUAAUAAGAAAAUAAAGUUUCUACGAUCUGAUCGUGGAGGAGAAUAUUUGAGUUACGAGUUUGGUCUUCGUUUGAAACAAUGCGGAAUAGUUUCGCAACUCACGCCACCCGGAACACCACAGCGUAAUGGUGUGUCCGAACGUCGUAAUCGUACUUUACUAAUAUGGUGUGAUCUAUGAUGUCUCUUACUAAUUUACCGCUAUCGUUUUGGGGUUAUGCUUUAGAGACGGCUGCAUUCACGUUAAAUAGGGCACCAUCUAAAUCCGUUGAGACGACACCUUAUGAACUGUGGUUUGGCAAGAAACCAAAGUUGUCGUUUCUUAAAGUUUGGGGCUGCGAUGCUUAUGUGAAAAAGCUUCAACCUGAUAAGCUCGAACCCAAAUCGGAGAAAUGUGUCUUCAUAGGAUACCCAAAGGAGACUGUUGGGUACACCUUCUAUCACAGAUCCGAAGGCAAGACAUUCGUUGCUAAGAAAGGAUCCUUUCUAGAGAAGGAGUUUCUCUCGAAAGAAGUGAGUGGGAGGAAAGUAGAACUUGAUGAGGUAACUCUACCUGCUCCCUUAUUGGAAAGUAGUUCUUCACAGAAAUCUGUUCCUGUGACUCCUACACCAAUUAGUGAGGAAGCUAAUGAUGAUGAUCAUGAAACUUCAGAUCAAGUUACUACUGAACCUCGUAGGUCAACCAGAGUAAGAUCCGCACCAGAGUGGUAUGGUAAUCCUGUUCUGAAAGUCAUGUUACUUGACCAUGAUGAACCUACGAACUAUGAGGAAGCGAUGAUGAGCCCAGAUUCCGCGAAAUGGCUUGAGGCCAUGAAAUCUGAGAUGGGAUCCAUGUAUGAAAACAAAGUGUGGAUUUUUGUUGACUUGCCCGAUGAUCGGCAAGCCAUAGAGAAUAAAUGGAUCUUCAAGAAGAAGACUGACGCUGAUGGUAAUGUUACUGUCUACAAAGCUCGACUUGUUGCGAAGGGUUUUCAACAAGUUCAAGGAGUUGACUACGAUGAGACCUUCUCACUUGUAGCGAUGAUUAAGUCCGUCCGAAUCAUGUUAGCAAUUGCUGCAUUUUAUGAUUAUCAAAUUUGGCAAAUGGAUGUAAAGACUGUGUUCCUGAAUGGAUUUCUAGAAGAAGAGUUGUAUAUGAUGCAACCUGAAGGUUUUAUUGAUCCAAAGGAUGCUAACAAAAGUGUGCAAGCUCCAGCGAUCCAUUUAUGGACUGGUGCAAGCAUCUCGGAGUUGAAAUAAACGUUUUGAUAGUGUGAUCAAAGCAUAUGGUUUUAUACAGACUUUUGGAGAAGCCUGUAUUUACAAGAAAGUGGGUGGGAGCUCUGUAGCAUUUCUAACAUUAUAUGUGGAUGACAUAUUGUUGAUUGGAAAUGAUACAGAAUUUCUAGAUAGCAUAAAAGGAUACUUGAACAAGAGUUUUUUAAUGAAAGACCUCGGUGAAGCUGCUUAUAUAUUGGGCAUCAAGAUCUAUAGAGAUAGAUCAAGACGCUUAAUUGGACUUCCACAAAGCACAUACCUUGAUAAAGUUUUGAAGAAGUUCAAAAUGAAUCAAGCAAAGAAAGGGUUCUUGCCUGUGUUACAAGGUGUGAAGUUGAGUCAGAGUCAAUGCCCGACCACUGCAGAAGAUAGAGAGAAAAUGAAAGGUGUUCGCUAUGCUUCAGCCAUAGGCUCUAUCAUGUAUGCAAUGCUGUGUACCAGACCUGAUGUGUGCAUUGCUAUCAGUUUAGCGGGGAGGUACCAAAGUAAUCCAGGAGUGGAUCACUGGACAACGGUCAAGAACAUUCUGAAAUACCUGAAAAGGACUAAGGAUAUGUUUCUCGUUUAUGGAGGUGACAAAGAGCUCGUUGUAAAUGGUCACGUCGAUGCAAGCUUUGACACUGAUCCGGAUGACUCUAAGUCACAAAACGGAUACGUGUUUAUAUUGAACGGUGGAGCUGUCAGUUGGUGCAGUUCUAAGCAAAGCGUCGUGGCGGGAUCUACCUGUGAAGCGGAGUACAUAGCUGCUUCGGAAGCAGCAAAUGAAGGAGUCUGAAUGAAGGAGUUCAUAUCUAAUCUAGGUGUCAUACCUAGUGCAUCGGGUCCAAUGAAAAUCUUUUGUGACAAUACUGGUGCCAUUGCCUUGGCAAAAGAAUCCAGAUUUCACAAGAGAACCAAGCACAUCAAGAGACGCUUCAAUUCCAUCCGUGAUCAAGUCAAGGAGAGAGACAUAGAGAUUUGCAAGAUACAUACGGAUCUGAAUGUUGCAGACCCGUUGACUAAGCCUCUCUCACGAGCAAAACAUGAUCAGGACCAAGACUCCAUGGGUGUUAGAAUCAUUACUGUGUAAUCUAGAUUAUUGACUCUAGUGCAAGUGGGAGACUCUAGUGCAACCUGCUUCAGAGGGCUUGUCGCCGUGUCUAGGGUUUCCGGGUCGGUCCUCUCCUCCCUUGGAGCAGAAGGAGUUGGCGGGCUCCCCGCCUUACCCGAGGGACGGGGGGCGGGUUGCCUACUUGUAGCAGCGCCCUGUUCUGGACUAGACGGCCCGUCCACAUACAACCAGGCCCCAUACUUCAUAUGUUUCUUAUCAUGCAUACUUAGACCACACUCCUUAUGAUCAUGGCCUAUCAGCCCACACACCUUGCGGAAACGAGCUAGUUUUUCAUAUCGAACAAGGUACACCUGUCACUCCCUUGCUCGCACAAUACUGACAAACUUAGUAAGGGGGCUUUUGAUGUUGUCAUUCACCCUAACCCUCACAUAGUCACCUCUCGUGUUCCCAUUCAGCCGCAUCUCCAAGAUCUCCCCAGCGCCCUUCAACAGCUUCUUGACAAUGUGUUCCUUGCAAUAGGGAUCCGGGAGCUUAUGAAUCUGAAGCCAUAUUGGCAUGUGAUCAAACACCACGUCUUCAGCCCGACUGAAUCCAUCAUACGUGCACAACAGCACCGCCAUGUUGCGGAAUAACCAUGGCCCUUGUUUCAUGAUCCGUUCCCAGUCCCCCAAGCACGAGGCCUGGACGACGAAUCUGUUCGGCCCGACCGGCCGGAAUCUAACACCUUGCGCAGGGUUCCAAGCCGCCCUCAUCUCCUUGUAGAAAGCUGACGGAGAGAGUUUUGUCGGUAUGAACCCUAGCUAGAGCUAACCAACGGACGCUCUUUGAUCUCCGGAUCCUCUUCAUCUAUCUCCACGUCAUCAAAUUCUUCCUCAUUGAGAUCCAGUUGGUUGAAAAAAUUCUCCAGAUCGGGAUCAGCGGCCGCUCUGCCGCCGCCGCCAAAGCCGCCACCACCGCCGCCGCCGCCGUUAGUCGCUGAGUUUGCAUCCGAGGAGGACGCCAUCGCGAGCGAGACGUCGUAGCCCCAGGGAAUACCCCUGCGAGAUUCACCGGGAUCGGGUAUAGGACUCUGAGAGGACGAGUCGCCUCAGAGGAAGAAAACCCUACUUGUGCAACAUUUUCCCCGGAGUUCUGAUCCACGGCAUAACUGCGAACACUGCGGUGAGGUCUGCAUCUCAAGGAAUCAAACUGGCCGGACAUUUAAACCUGACGCAACAAACUCGGCAGUUUAUCACGCUGCUUCAUAAAAACCCGCGCACUGCGUAGACAGUCAGUUGGAUUGCGUGCUACUACCAGCCCGUGUGACUGCAAUAUCAUCAAUAUACAUACUCAAUUACUACCACGGAAUAAUAGAGUAGCCAACUGAGUCAGAGAUGCCCUUGCCUUGCCUCCUGCUAGUGCAAAUGCAACAAUGCCUAUGGUCAUCAGAUCAUGUGGGUGCCAUAUGGUUGGACUUGGGAGACGGGGGUUGGUGACGGGGACAGCUUGCCGCAACUGGUCGCUCUAGGAUUAGGGUCCCGAAAUACCAAACCUUGGAUGCAUUAGCAGGACGACCCCGUGAUUGCAGCAGGUUUUUGUAGCGGUGUCAGAAUUUAUCUACUGUUAUUACUGAACCACCAGCACGUUUCUUCUCACACACCACAAGUUUAUCCCAAAUUCUACGAACAAUCACUGAUAAGUGGGUCCGACCGUCGAUCCAAUUAUGUUCGUGCAAUCGUGUACAUAGCAGCGUUCUGUCCACGCAGGAGCCACACAAUCGUGUACCUCGCCUGCAGUGGCCAGUUUCCUCUAUCGGCCGCGAGCGCGCGAACGACCGAACUUCCCCUCCCUCACGGGCACAGCGUCUGACAUGAACGAGGAGCACGCACAGCGUCAUGUAGCUAUAGAAUCUUUCCUAGCCGGUGAACGUUGCCCCGGAAUCCCUGACAGCACCAGCGGCUCGUGCGGUCGUGCCCACCCGGCCACCCACCCGGUACGCUUGCCUCCCCCGUCGGACGCGCCAUGCAUGUGCCGCCACCGGCGCUGGAGCCCAGCGUCGUACCUCCCUACGCCGCGCCCAACAGUGCGUUCCACCGUUGAAAAUGGCGCGAGAUCACGAGCUCCUCGUCUUUAUCCCCCGUGAAAGCUACGGCUACGAGCCUACGACGAGGUUGCUACUGCAACACGAGCGGCCAUGUACAUGCAUGCCACAGUGAUGGGACUAGGAGCAAGUCGGAAUUUUAACGUCGUUGAAUUGAUCAUCAAUGGCGCGGAUGGUCCAGGGAGACAAUAAUAAACGCUAAGCUAGCUACUGGCCCCCGAAUGGCGGAUGGGGCAGGGCGGGAGUACAAUGCGCGCGUGAGUCGCGUACCCGCCGCGGGCGAAACCUUCGUGACAACAAUGGGGGAAUAAAUUCCGACCGGUUUCCACCGCACACGGCACCGCGCAGUCACCCUGGCAAGCACGUACGCCGCCUCGCCCGCCUCUGUACAUCCCGUGUCAUCCUCGGUGCCGGAACGCCGGAGCCGUGCCGCGACGGGUCG
RNAcentral lists this long non-coding RNA (9438 nucleotides) under Triticum aestivum (bread wheat). RNAcentral's name for it is "long non-coding RNA (TAES_LNC008860)". Lineage: Eukaryota; Viridiplantae; Streptophyta; Magnoliopsida; Poales; Poaceae. The record is from RNAcentral.